GCGUGAUGCCGAUCUCCGACGACGUCGUUCGUCCAACAAGGCGGUGCUUCUUGCAGAAAUCAAAAGCGAGGCCUCCGAUGGUUGCGUUAGCGAGAGCAUUCUGGAGAAUCUGGAAAGGACUCAAAGGAAUGCGAUUCCGGAGUCAAUGAGAGCAGCGUACUGUAUGGUGGCAUUAGAAUGCACGGUGAAAUUCCUGGUGAGCAGUGGGGGAAAGCCUCGGGAAAAGUACUCCAAGGCGUUGAAUCAUAUUUGGGGAGGGGAAGGGAGAAUCGGACGGUUGGAGAGGCUUGGGAGGAGUCAACUCCUGUCGGACGGGCUCAAGAAGCGCCGCGACGAGCUUAACUCUGUUUUCGAGGACGAGGAUGUUUGUAGAAAGCUUUGUAGAAUGAAUACCAGGAACGAUGCUUUGUCGCGUAUUUGUGUUUAUUUGGAGGAGGCCUCCGCUGGUAUAAGUAUAACUAAUUCAUCAAGCAGACGAUGAGGCAGAGCCAAGUCCAUCUCAAUCUCAACAUUUUGAUGUUGAUUAUGGUUUUGGAAUUGAUAAUCAAUCCAAAGAUGCUCCUCCGAAUUUGAAGGAACAUAAUACUACUACUGCUCAUGCUGCUCAUGCACAUGAGUGGAAUGAAUCAAUUGACAACUCGCCUAAAACAACUGCCAACCAGAACCAUGGAACUCGCCGGCCUAUCCCAAAGAGAAAGACUGUUUCUCCGCCGAAGAUCAACAAGAACGAAACUAGAAUGAGAGGAAAGAAAAAACGAUGGUCUUAACAUGAAGAAGAGAUCUUAAGGACUGCUGUUCAAUCGUUUGGUCCCAGGUGGAAGGACAUCUGGACUACCCACCAUGAUGAUUUUGGAGACAGGACUGCGGUAAGCAAAUGUUAUGUUGUCUUGUUUGUUUGCAAAUUGCAAUGCCAGCCAACUUAAUUCCUUGUCCAUCCGUGUCAAGGCAAUUGCUGUUGUUAAAAGUUGGAUUUUUCUUCACUCCCACUGGUCGAUUUGAAGGAUAAGUGGAGAAACAUGAACAAAAAUGUGCGUCAUUGAACUGAAGUAUAUAUGCAGCUUAGCUUUUUGUAUUUUGCUUGCUUGCAUAUAGUUAUAUGCUUUUGAUUGGUUCAA
Molecule: long non-coding RNA, 1115 nt
Organism: Morus notabilis
Lineage: Eukaryota; Viridiplantae; Streptophyta; Magnoliopsida; Rosales; Moraceae
Exons: 3
Source: RefSeq, a predicted model, not a curated record